AUUGUCAGGAAAUCCUUCCCUCUGGAUUCCACAGCAUGUGUCUUAUGCAAUGAAGAUGAGAUGGAGGACAGAACCCAUUUAUUAUUUGCAUGCUCAUUCAGUCAAAAUUUCCGAUGGAAUAUUGAUUUUGAAUGGAACACUGAUUUGACUGUUCAUGACAUGAUCUCUGAUGGCAAAUUAAGACAUAAUCUACCUUUCUUCAUGGAAAUUGUGACUGUUGGAUGCUGGAGUAUAUGGAAUCAGAGAAAUGGCUUGAUAUUUGAAGAUACACCAUGUUCCAUAACCUCAUGCAAAUUUGACUUCAUCAAAACUUUCAAGCUCACCAUGCUGAGAGCAAAGCCUAGCUUCAAGGAUGGCAUGUCAUCCUGGAUAGACAACAUUUGA
This 384-nucleotide ribosomal RNA is filed under the name Triticum aestivum (bread wheat). RNAcentral describes it as "partial small subunit ribosomal RNA". The record is from RNAcentral. Lineage: Eukaryota; Viridiplantae; Streptophyta; Magnoliopsida; Poales; Poaceae.